UCCUCAUUCGUCUAGUGGCUAGGAUGGGUGCCUCUCACGCACCAGGCCGGGGUUCAAUUCCCCGAUGGGGAA
Non-coding RNA from Naganishia vaughanmartiniae, 72 nucleotides. Lineage: Eukaryota; Fungi; Basidiomycota; Tremellomycetes; Filobasidiales; Filobasidiaceae. The record is from the annotation of a GenBank genome assembly.